RNAcentral lists this ribosomal RNA (253 nucleotides) under uncultured Eubacteriales bacterium. RNAcentral's name for it is "uncultured Clostridiales bacterium partial 16S ribosomal RNA". It matches the Rfam family "Bacterial small subunit ribosomal RNA", at positions 524 to 776 of the family's 1533-position model. The record is from RNAcentral. Lineage: Bacteria; Bacillati; Bacillota; Clostridia; Eubacteriales.
UACGUAGGUGGCAAGCGUUGUCCGGAUUUACUGGGUGUAAAGGGCGUGCAGCCGGGAGUGCAAGUCAGAUGUGAAAUCCCGCGGCUCAACCGCGGAACUGCAUUUGAAACUGCCAUACUGGAGUGCCGGAGAGGUAAGUGGAAUUCCUAGUGUAGCGGUGAAAUGCGUAGAUAUUAGGAGGAACACCAGUGGCGAAGGCGGCUUACUGGACGGUAACUGACGCUGAGGCUCGAAAGCAUGGGUAGCGAACAGG